Molecule: non-coding RNA, 29 nt
Filed under: Mus musculus (house mouse)
Lineage: Eukaryota; Metazoa; Chordata; Mammalia; Rodentia; Muridae
Source: RNAcentral
UAUGAGUGUUAUCACUGUGGAAAAGCCUU